AACUCCCUCCUGGCUGAGGACGGGUGCUAAAGCUUCUUUUCACGAUCUGUGCCUUUGCUAGGACUGCUGAAUAUGUCUUGAGCUCCAGUACUAACAAGUGUUGCUUGAUCUCUGGGCGGAGACCUGACUGGAAUUUCCUGGCCUUUCGGCCCUCAUCCAUCAAUGUCUCCGGAGAGUAUCAGCCCAGCUCGAGGAACUUACAAGCAUACUCUGAUACUGUCAUGUUUUCCUGAACCAGUUGAACAAACUUCGUUUCCUUUAGGUGUCGGAGGUGCUCAGGGAGAUACUCCGCAUGGAAGGCCGCUAGGAACUGCUCCCAAGUGACUGGUGUAGGCAGGGUGGUCUGCUUGAGCUCCCACCAACGUCCUGCUUCCCCUACCAGCAUGAAGGAAGCAAGGGCAGCUCUCUGCUCAGGAACUACUCCCAAGAUCCUGAAAGCUCUCUCAGUCUCCGCCAGCCAGUACUGGGCAUCUUCAAAAGAGGAUCCCCCUGCAAAGGUGGAAGGUUUCAGUCUCUUGUACCUCUCUAUGUAGUCCGGGUCGAUCAAGGAAGGAGCAGGGUCUUGGGGAGGAGGGAC
Molecule: long non-coding RNA, 577 nt
Filed under: Carica papaya (papaya)
Lineage: Eukaryota; Viridiplantae; Streptophyta; Magnoliopsida; Brassicales; Caricaceae
Description: long non-coding RNA (CPAP_LNC014839)
Source: RNAcentral